ACGGUAGAGUAUUCGGCUUUUAA
RNAcentral lists this transfer RNA (23 nucleotides) under Saponaria stenopetala. Its description in RNAcentral is "partial tRNA-Lys". Lineage: Eukaryota; Viridiplantae; Streptophyta; Magnoliopsida; Caryophyllales; Caryophyllaceae. The record is from RNAcentral.